GGGCCCCGCACCUUGGAAGCCAACAAAAUUCAUAAAUUUUGAAUACCCAUUCAAUUACGAGUCCAACCAUACAAAAAUAAUCCAAUUCUAACCAAAUAUCGACCCUCAACUCCUCAAAUUUCACUCUCCAAUAACAUAAUCCAAAAUCCCCGAAUUCCACCUCAAACACACAUAAACUAGGUGUAAAAAUCAAUGAGUAAAAUAUUUAUCAAUACAAAUGAUGAAUCUUCACUUACCUCUUCAAUUAUAGUGAAAAUUACUCUAAAAUCGCCCUUAGCCGAACUCCACAACUCCAAAAAUGUCAAACCCUUUGAUUUAUAUUUCUGCCCAGCUAAAUCGCAUAUGCGGUCCAAAACAUCGCAGUUGCGACACUGCUUUUGCGAUCCAUCCUCUACAUAUGAGGUUUCCCAUUAAUAUGCACAUUCUCGCUUCUGCGCCCAAAUGACCGAACAUGCGGUCUCUCAGAUGCGGAACCUACCUCGUACUUGCGCCCUUCCUGCCUCCAGCCAAACCUCGCUCCUGCAGACCUUCUUGCGCAGAAGUGCAUCCGCUUCUACGAAAUUACCUCCGUACCUGCACUCCUAGGCUUCCUUCCCAAAUCUCUCACAUGCACACAAAUGGCCGCUUCUGCGGCUUCGCACAUGCGAUCAAAACCACGCAGGUGCGGUUACACCAGACCUGAAGCUUCAGCAUUUCCUUAAAAUCUCAAUCUGAUUUCAAUCCUAAUCACUCCCGAGACCCCAUCCAAACAUACCAACACGUCCUAAAAUAUGAUACGAACUUAGUCAAAGCCUCAAAUCAUACUAAACAACAUCAAAAUCAUGAAUCGCACCCAAAUUCAAGUCUAAUGAAACUAAUGAACUUUUCACUUCUAGAAACAAUGCCGAACUAUAUCAAAGCUACUCUAAAUGACCUCAAAUUUUGCACACUAGCCUCAAAUGACACAACGGGCCUAUUCCAACUCUCAGAACCGAAAUCCAAACCCGAUAUCGACAAAGUCAACUCUCG
This 1008-nucleotide long non-coding RNA is filed under the name Nicotiana tabacum (common tobacco). Its description in RNAcentral is "long non-coding RNA (NTAB_LNC019564)". The record is from RNAcentral. Lineage: Eukaryota; Viridiplantae; Streptophyta; Magnoliopsida; Solanales; Solanaceae.